Molecule: ribosomal RNA, 460 nt
Filed under: uncultured bacterium
Lineage: Bacteria
Description: partial 16S ribosomal RNA
Rfam family: Bacterial small subunit ribosomal RNA
Source: RNAcentral
AGAGUUUGAUCAUGGCUCAGGAUGAACGCUGGCGGCGUGCCUAACACMUGCAAGUCSAGCGGUAUAUACUUAAACMAAUCUUCSGAAGAGCGAGAGUAUGGAGAGCGGCGGACGGGUGAGUAACSCGUAGGCMACCUGCCCCMUACMGAGGGAUAGCCUCGGGAAACCGGGAUUAAAACCUCAUAACGCCMAGAGUUCACAUGGACUUUUGGCCMAAGAUUUAUCGGUAUGGGAUGGGCCUGCGUCUGAUUAGCUAGUUGGUGGGGUAACGGCCUACCAAGGCAACGAUCAGUAGCCGACCUGAGAGGGUAAUCGGCCACAUUGGAACUGAGACMCGGUCCAAACUCCUACGGGAGGCAGCAGUGGGGAAUAUUGCACAAUGGGCGAAAGCCUGAUGCAGCAACGCCGCGUGAGCGAUGAAGGCCUUUGGGUCGUAAAGCUCUGUCCUUGGGGAAGAAAA